AUGGGAGAAUCUUAGAAAAUCUAAGUAUGCCUGUUCUAUUCCAGUGAUGUUCUGCCAUGGAUGGCAGAACAAGGCUUCACGAGCCAAGGAUGGCUCGUUGAAGCCGUUCACGUCACUUGUUGUCAUUUUUUUCAGGCAUAUCCAGAUUUUCUUAGGUUCGUAC
This 163-nucleotide non-coding RNA is filed under the name uncultured Roseburia sp. The record is from RNAcentral. Lineage: Bacteria; Bacillati; Bacillota; Clostridia; Lachnospirales; Lachnospiraceae.